Molecule: ribosomal RNA, 253 nt
Filed under: uncultured bacterium
Lineage: Bacteria
Description: partial 16S ribosomal RNA
Rfam family: Bacterial small subunit ribosomal RNA
Source: RNAcentral
UACAUAGGGGGCAAGCGUUGUCCGGAAUCAUUGGGCGUAAAGAGCGUGUAGGCGGCCCGGUAAGUCCGCUGUGAAAGUCCAGGGCUCAACCCUGGGAUGCCGGUGGAUACUGUCGGGCUCGAGUCCGGAAGAGGAGUGUGGAAUUCCUGGUGUAGCGGUGAAAUGCGCAGAUAUCAGGAGGAACACCAAUGGCGAAGGCAGCACUCUGGGACGUGACUGACGCUGAGACGCGAAAGCGUGGGGAGCAAACAGG